UUGUAAAGGACGUUUGGGAGUCGAAAAUUAAUGAAUUGAGCUCCCGAAGAAUUUUUUCCGGUGGACUUGCUUUUCGGCGAAUUUGGGUUUCCUUUUCAAUUGCUUCUCUUUAUCUUCGCUUUUGUAAUAGUCGUCGCACCAUGAGUACCAGAGCUGAGAAAGUAUACGGUGACACCAUGAGUACCAGAGCUGAGAAAGUAUAUGGUGUUGCCAUGAGUACCAAAGCUUAUAGAAACCUUGAAGAAAGAGGAUGGGUGGGCCUUCACCUAUAUAUGCUACGUGCAUAUUGAUUCCGUUCACGUGUAUGUUUUUGGUUGCUUUAUUCUUUUAGUGAAAUCAGUUUGGUGUUGUAUUGAUUUUUCGCAUAUUAUUUUCCGCUCGAUUUGGGAUGGACUUGAAUUUGACGUUUCCAUAUUAGUUUGAUUUGGGAAUUUCUUCCGAUUUCGGCUGAUUUGAUGUUCCCCCCUUUCUUUGUUGUUUAUUAUUAUAUUGUUGGAAUAUGAUUUUUUGGGGUUGUUCUAUUUCACCGGAGUUUCCGGUUUUACGUGUGCAUACUGUUCAUCUUGUUCGUAAAUCAGGUUUUGUUGUUUGGUUGUUCUAUUUCAGCUUGAUUCGGUGCUUGUUGCUUAUUUAAUCUGUUUCUGACUGUUGUGGUGUUCCUUCUUCAUGAUACCGUCGUACUUUAGUCACGGCGGG
This 696-nucleotide long non-coding RNA is filed under the name Panax ginseng (ginseng). RNAcentral's name for it is "long non-coding RNA (PGIN_LNC012935)". The record is from RNAcentral. Lineage: Eukaryota; Viridiplantae; Streptophyta; Magnoliopsida; Apiales; Araliaceae.